Molecule: small RNA, 127 nt
Filed under: Marmota monax (woodchuck)
Lineage: Eukaryota; Metazoa; Chordata; Mammalia; Rodentia; Sciuridae
Source: RNAcentral
GCCAGGUGUGGUGGCGCACACUUGUAACUCCAGCUACUCGGGAGGCUGAGGUAGGAGGAUCACAAGUUCAAAGCCAGCCUCAGCAACUUAGCAAGGUCUUCAGCAACUUAGAGAGAUCCUGUCUCUA